UCUGGUGGUAGCGUCUUUCUGGCACAUUUGUUGAGUGUUCAAAUGGGCCUGACUCUGCCACAUACAUUAUGCAGGAGCCAGCAAAGUCUUGAGACAAAAAGUCUCUCUUGAGAGUUUCCUGAUGACAGAUUGGCUCCCAUAAGU
Molecule: small nucleolar RNA, 144 nt
Filed under: Neotoma lepida (desert woodrat)
Lineage: Eukaryota; Metazoa; Chordata; Mammalia; Rodentia; Cricetidae
Description: Small nucleolar RNA SNORA12
Rfam family: Small nucleolar RNA SNORA12
About the family: U108 belongs to the H/ACA family of snoRNAs. The sequence is predicted to guide the pseudouridylation of the U372 residue in the 28S rRNA subunit.
Source: Rfam by way of RNAcentral